Molecule: ribosomal RNA, 517 nt
Filed under: uncultured bacterium
Lineage: Bacteria
Description: bacterial SSU rRNA
Rfam family: Bacterial small subunit ribosomal RNA
Source: RNAcentral
AGAACUUAGCAGAGAUGCUUUGGUUCCUUCGGGAACUCUGAGACAGGUGCUGCAUGGCUGUCGUCAGCUCGUGUUGUGAAAUGUUGGUUAAGUCCCGCAACGAGCGCAACCCUUAUCCUUUGUUGCCAGCGGUCCGGCCGGGAACUCAAAGGAGACUGCCAGUGAUAAACUGGAGGAAGGUGGGGAUGACGUCAAGUCAUCAUGGCCCUUACGAGUAGGGCUACACACGUGCUGCAAUGGCGCAUACAAAGAGAAGCGACCUCGCGAGAGCAAGCGGACCUCAUAAAGUGCGUCGUAGUCCGGAUUGGAGUCUGCAACUCGACUCCAUGAAGUCGGAAUCGCUAGUAAUCGUAGAUCAGAAUGCUACGGUCGAAUACGUUCCCGGGCCUUGUACACACCGCCCGUCACACCAUGGGAGUGGGUUGCAAAAGAAGUAGGUAGCUUAACCUUCGGGAGGGCGCUUACCACUUUGUGAUUCAUGACUGGGGUGAAGUCGUAACAAGGUAAGCGUAGCGAG